This 85-nucleotide transfer RNA is filed under the name Pelagibacterales bacterium SAG-MED19. Its description in RNAcentral is "tRNA-Leu". It matches the Rfam family "tRNA". Rfam says of the family: Transfer RNA (tRNA) molecules are approximately 80 nucleotides in length. Their secondary structure includes four short double-helical elements and three loops (D, anti-codon, and T loops). Further hydrogen bonds mediate the characteristic L-shaped molecular structure. tRNAs have two regions of fundamental functional importance: the anti-codon, which is responsible for specific mRNA codon recognition, and the 3' end, to which the tRNAs corresponding amino acid is attached (by aminoacyl-tRNA synthetases). tRNAs cope with the degeneracy of the genetic code in two manners: having more than one tRNA (with a specific anti-codon) for a particular amino acid; and 'wobble' base-pairing, i.e. permitting non-standard base-pairing at the 3rd anti-codon position. The record is from RNAcentral. Lineage: Bacteria; Pseudomonadati; Pseudomonadota; Alphaproteobacteria; Candidatus Pelagibacterales.
GGGGCGAUGGCGGAAUUGGUAGACGCGUUGGUCUUAGGAACCAAUAGAGCAAUCUGUGAAGGUUCGAGUCCUUUUCGCCCUACCA